RNAcentral lists this long non-coding RNA (268 nucleotides) under Malus domestica (apple). RNAcentral describes it as "long non-coding RNA (MDOM_LNC009384)". Lineage: Eukaryota; Viridiplantae; Streptophyta; Magnoliopsida; Rosales; Rosaceae. The record is from RNAcentral.
ACCAUGAAAAGGAGGCAAGAGAGAGAAGUGGCCUAAUCGGAUUUGCGGUGCUUUAUCGAUGCGUCAUGAUGUCAGAGAAGCGAGCAUCUGCGUCUCCACCACGCGUCGGUCUGAGUGGACGCACACGAAUCUGAUUCAGCUGUAGAGUGAGAGCGCUGCAUCGCCGACACAGUUGGACACGGCUGCAGAGAAAAACAAACACAGAUUUUCAAGUGUUGCGUUUAUUACAAGGAGGCAGAUUGUCUGCCUUUUGUUAUGGUGUCGUUAC